Molecule: ribosomal RNA, 943 nt
Filed under: Lactiplantibacillus plantarum
Lineage: Bacteria; Bacillati; Bacillota; Bacilli; Lactobacillales; Lactobacillaceae
Description: bacterial SSU rRNA
Rfam family: Bacterial small subunit ribosomal RNA
Source: RNAcentral
GAUGGAGCACGCCGCGUGAGUGAAGAAGGGUUUCGGCUCGUAAAACUCUGUUGUUAAAGAAGAACAUAUCUGAGAGUAACUGUUCAGGUAUUGACGGUAUUUAACCAGAAAGCCACGGCUAACUACGUGCCAGCAGCCGCGGUAAUACGUAGGUGGCAAGCGUUGUCCGGAUUUAUUGGGCGUAAAGCGAGCGCAGGCGGUUUUUUAAGUCUGAUGUGAAAGCCUUCGGCUCAACCGAAGAAGUGCAUCGGAAACUGGGAAACUUGAGUGCAGAAGAGGACAGUGGAACUCCAUGUGUAGCGGUGAAAUGCGUAGAUAUAUGGAAGAACACCAGUGGCGAAGGCGGCUGUCUGGUCUGUAACUGACGCUGAGGCUCGAAAGUAUGGGUAGCAAACAGGAUUAGAUACCCUGGUAGUCCAUACCGUAAACGAUGAAUGCUAAGUGUUGGAGGGUUUCCGCCCUUCAGUGCUGCAGCUAACGCAUUAAGCAUUCCGCCUGGGGAGUACGGCCGCAAGGCUGAAACUCAAAGGAAUUGACGGGGGCCCGCACAAGCGGUGGAGCAUGUGGUUUAAUUCGAAGCUACGCGAAGAACCUUACCAGGUCUUGACAUACUAUGCAAAUCUAAGAGAUUAGACGUUCCCUUCGGGGACAUGGAUACAGGUGGUGCAUGGUUGUCGUCAGCUCGUGUCGUGAGAUGUUGGGUUAAGUCCCGCAACGAGCGCAACCCUUAUUAUCAGUUGCCAGCAUUAAGUUGGGCACUCUGGUGAGACUGCCGGUGACAAACCGGAGGAAGGUGGGGAUGACGUCAAAUCAUCAUGCCCCUUAUGACCUGGGCUACACACGUGCUACAAUGGAUGGUACAACGAGUUGCGAACUCGCGAGAGUAAGCUAAUCUCUUAAAGCCAUUCUCAGUUCGGAUUGUAGGCUGCAACUCGCCUACAUG